UUAUGACUUGAGUUAGUCAAUGGAAUAAGAUUCCAAUUUAUUCUGUUAAAUUAUUUUGGAAAUUUAUAAUUGAGGUGUUUGGUUUAGAUGCCUUACAUGCUCGUGGGGAGAGUUUCCUACGGGUGUGCGGCGGUUGGCGCGACCCCCGGCCCGCGAUCUCGGGACGGGGGCGUGACAACUCAAAUGGUAUCAGAGCGGACCCGGCCCAUAACCUAUGUGAACUAGGGGACACUACAGCACGGAUCCAUUGGGGCUGACUACGGGCCAAUCGUGGUGCUUGUGAUUAGAUUUGAAUAGAUAUGAACCCUUAGCUUGACGAGGACGUCAGGGCUUGAACGGGAAGAGUAUGUGAGGACCCGUGCAGGCGUGUGUUUAGUCCCACAUCGGUUAUUCGCUGGGUAGAUCUUGGGUAUUUAUACAGGAUCAAGGAACCCAAAUAGUAAUUUCCGGCUAGCCAUUUUGGGUGAGAUCUUGGAUUGUUACAAAUGGUAUCCGAGGAAAAUUCACAGAACUAGCCAAAUUUGUUCCGAAAUUGGUAGAGGAUGAGCAAGACCGAGUGCACAAGUUUGAGAUGGGAUUGAAGA
RNAcentral lists this long non-coding RNA (584 nucleotides) under Phoenix dactylifera (date palm). Its description in RNAcentral is "long non-coding RNA (PDAC_LNC021238)". Lineage: Eukaryota; Viridiplantae; Streptophyta; Magnoliopsida; Arecales; Arecaceae. The record is from RNAcentral.